GUAGGCGGUUUAAUAAGUGAAUAGUGAAACCUGGUGGCUCAACCAUACAGACUAUUAUUCAAACUGUUAAACUCGAGAAUGGUAGAGGUAACNUGGAAUUUCUAGUGUAGGAGUGAAAUCCGUAGAUAUUAGAAGGAACACCGAUGGCGUAGGCAGGUUACUGGGCCAUUUCCGACGCUAAGGCACGAAAGCGUAGGGAGCGAACCGGAUUAGAUACCCGGGUAGUCCACGCCGUAAACGAUGGAUACUAGCUGUUGGAGGUAUCGACCCCUUCAGUAGCGAAGCUAACGCGUUAAGUAUCCCGCCUGUGGAGUACGGCCGCAAGGCUAAAACAUAAAGGAAUUGACGGGGACCCGCACAAGCGGUGGAUUAUGUUCUUUAAUUCGAUGAUAACCGAAGAACCUUACCAGGGCUUGACAUCCAGGGAAGGUCUGCGAAAGUAGACUGUGCCUUUUGGAACCCUGUGACAGGUGAUGCAUGGCCGUCGUCAGCUCGUGUCGUGAGAUGUUAGGUUAAGUCCUUCAACGAGCGCAACCCUUGUGGAUAGUUGUAUUUUUCUAUUCAGACUGCCCCGGUAACGGGGAGGAAGGAGGGGAUGAUGUCAGGUCAGUAUUUCCCUUACGUCCUGGGCUAGAAACGUAAUACAAUGGCUAGUACAAUGCGCAGCGAAGCCGCGAGGUGAAGCAAAUCGCAUCAAAGCUAGUCCCAGUUCGGAUUG
RNAcentral lists this ribosomal RNA (718 nucleotides) under uncultured Candidatus Saccharibacteria bacterium. RNAcentral describes it as "bacterial SSU rRNA". It matches the Rfam family "Bacterial small subunit ribosomal RNA", at positions 571 to 1300 of the family's 1533-position model. The record is from RNAcentral. Lineage: Bacteria; Candidatus Saccharimonadota.